AUUAAAUUUUUAAGGCUAAAACGGCGUUUAAGAUUAAAAUGUUUGAACGAUGACCCUUACUGCAAUUUAUGGGCAUUUAACCUACCAUGUACACUAUUGCAGUAAUAUAUCUGCCCAUUUAUGGGUGACGUACCUACUGGAGCACACUCUAACACAUUACAUUGAUGUUUACUAGGCUAAAAACCUUAAACAAACUUUUUAUUCAGUGACACCUCGUAUACCAACUUAAAAUAUGUACGAAGUUUAUAAUCUGUUUAUGUUACAAUCCUUGUUUCAGGAAAAAUGAUAAGUUGUCUACAGUUAGUUUGGAAGGGAUUUGGGGAAAAAUGAAUCUGAGAAGAAGUUAAGGAAUGAACCUACUACAACGCUACCAUGUGUGACAAAAACCACCUACAUGAAUGAGUUGAUGGUCAAUGGUCAUACUUGCAAAAAUGAAUUAGGCUGUAAGAAGAAAACACAAAUCUUUGAAGAAAAUCAACACAAAGGGCUAUGUUCAGGGCAACUUUGGGAUUCAUAAUAUUUAACAGUUUAUGAUUCUUUAAAAUAAAAUAUAUAAGAGGACUAAAUCUAAAUAUUGAAGCUUUUUUACUUAAAAUUGCAAAGUUCAUAGAGGUGAAAAUGUUACUGUUUUGGACACUUUUAAAUAACUUAACAAAUUUAAACUUUUUAAAUUCUAAAAUAUGAUAAAGUUGAUCUGUAUCGAAUGAGACCUGGGAAUGGAAUUCAUGAGAUCAUUUGCCAAAGGUACUGUACAGUGUACCUGAAUAUAAGGAACUACUGAAAUGAAGAUGUUGAUGAUAGCUGUACUAAUUGGUCAUAAAGAUUUUCUGAAGUGUAUGCCGGGAUGACUGCCUUACAAACCAUAGCCUUUUUUAACCUGCACUAGACUGCAAAUGCAAGCCCGCUUUCAGCUUUCAGCAUGGAUUAUUCACUCGACGUACAAUAAGCCAAGAGAAAUUCAACUUCUGUGAAGAACCAUCUUCAAAACAUUACCGAGAACUGUCAAAAAGUGCAUCACUUUGAAGUAGUUUAUUAGGUUAAGUGUGAUGGCCUUUGACUAUAGUGUCCUAUGGAUAGACUACUAGACAUAUACAUUUUGGAUCAAUUUUAGGUAAAACUUGUUCAUUAAAAGAAUAUCACAUUUUUACGUCAAAAAACAAAACGACCUACCUUUGCUUAGGAAACAGUGAUUAUAAACCAAUCCAAAAUUAUUUCCCUGUUUUAACAACUACAACGAGAUAAAAGUGUAAAAUUAUUGAAUUAUGUUGGAUGAACA
This is a long non-coding RNA of Eurytemora carolleeae, 1276 nucleotides long. RefSeq lists it as uncharacterized. The record is from RefSeq and is a predicted model, not a curated record. The transcript is spliced from 8 exons. NCBI's taxonomy places the organism in Eukaryota, Metazoa, Arthropoda, Copepoda, Calanoida, Temoridae.